This 11869-nucleotide long non-coding RNA is filed under the name Phaseolus vulgaris (common bean). RNAcentral describes it as "long non-coding RNA (PVUL_LNC001398)". Lineage: Eukaryota; Viridiplantae; Streptophyta; Magnoliopsida; Fabales; Fabaceae. The record is from RNAcentral.
GCUUCAAAUGAUGGCAGUAAAGCAAGUGAAAUCUUUCGAGGUCAAGUUCACUUGUACAAACACUUGUUUGCCCAUACAAUAGAUGCUAUGAGUCUUAAAUGGAUGGUUGAGCUUAGCAUACCAGACAUAAUCCACAACCAUGGUCAACCUAUUACAUUUCAAAAGUUGGUGUCCAUUCUACAAGUUUCACCAACCAAAGUUAGAGGUGUGCAGAGUCUCAUACACUACCUAGCACACACUGGAUUCUUUGAGAUAGUUAGUGUCCAUGAGAAUAUGGAGGAAAAGGAAGCAUAUGCUCUAACUGCUGCAUCACAGCUUCUUGUCAAAGACAGUGACCUUUGUCUAGCACCAACGGUAGAGGGUUUUGUUGACCCAGGUUUAACUGGUGUAUGGUCUAACCUGAAGAAGUGGACUUAUGAGGAUGAUCUCACACUAUUUGGUGUCUCAGUAGGAUCAAAUCUGUGGGAAUUUCUUGAUAAAAAUCCUGCAUCUGACGAGGCAUUCAAUGAGACAUUGGCUGCUGAUUCUAAGAUGAUGAACAUGGCAUUGAAAGGUUGCAAUUGGGUGUUUGAGGGAGUGGAGUCCAUUGUGGAUGUUGGCGGUGGAACUGGAAUCACAGCCAACACAAUAUGUGAGGCAUUUCCUAACAUGAAAUGCAUUGUGUUGGAACGUCCACGUGUUAUAGAAAACUUGUCAGGAACAACAAUUUGACAUAUGUUGGUGGAGACAUGUUUAAAUCUAUUCCAAAGGCUGAUGCAGUUCUACUUAAGGUAUGCAUUUCUAGACAAAUAUUUACUAAACCUGUUUAACUAUACCAAAUUUAUCUAUUCUAAAUCAUAACUCAUUUCUCACACGAGCAGGGCUAGCUCUAGGCCUAGUAGUUAUUGGGAGAAGUGGUGACUUAGAUCCCAGUUUAGGAGAGAAACAAUGAAAAAUCCACUUGCAUUACCUUUUUUUUCUGUUUAGUUUUUUUAUAUAUUUUGUUUCAUGUUUCUUUUUAUAUUAAAAUAUUCAAAGUUGUUGUUUUUUGGUUAUUAGUGUUUUUUUUUAUGGGUUAUGUUUAUAAAUUUAUUAUGAUAUAUUAUUCUAUUAGGGGUGACAAUGAGGGUUUGUCUUUUAUGUAUAGACUCAUCCCGCAUAGACCAGUUCCACAUUUGGUUCAUAAAAUGUGGAUCGAGUUGGUCUGUUCCGCGCUCAUUUCAAUGGCCCGCUUAUGUGGUAAUCCACGGGCUUGCAGGCCAGCUUGUAUAAUAAUUUUUUUUUUAAAUUAUGUUGGAGGUCCAACAUCGACUAGAGAUUAGAGUAUUUCAUUGUAUAUAAGUGAGUGCAAACCUCAUCCCAUGAGCCGGUUUUAUGAGGUUGAGUUAGGCUUAAAGUUCACUUUAUAAUAUGAUAUCAAAGCCAUUUAAAGCCUAUCCUAACGAAUGUUUGUUGGGCUUAUCAGGUCACCCCUAUCGGACCGUUAUUGGACCAUCCAUAAUAUGUUAUCUCAUCCCAUGAGUCGGUUUGAUGGGGUUGAGUUAAGUUUAAAGUCCACUUUGUAAUAAAUUAAAAUUUCAUUAAUUAUAAAAAAACUUAUUCCUAUAUAUCUAUGUAAUGUAUAAGAGUAUCUUAUUAAAGUUUUGCUACAAAAUAUUUUAAUGAAAGAUGACUAAUUUUUUAACCAUUCUAUUAAAAUAUCUUCUUUAUAUUAUUUUUUAUUAACAAAUUUUAAAUAUAAGAUUUUUCUUAAAACUAAAUUCUCUGUCAUUCUUAAUACUAACUCUUUUAGAUGAUUAAAAUAAAAUAUAUUUUUUUUAGUACAUUAGAUUCAAUUUUUAAAAAUAAAAUAAAGGUCACACUACAAUAAUAAUAGAUGUAUGAGAUAUGUUUUUUUUUUUUAAAAAAUUAUUAUUUUUUUAUUUAUGCGGAUCAACGUACCUACCUACUUUGUCCCAUAAUUUCCAUCAAUUUAGCUAUGAUCAUACUUAGAAUAAAAGUACUUCUUUUAACAACAACCACAAACCUAAAUUGAAAUUGUAAAAUAUCAAAGUUACAAAAUUAUUAUUAUAUUAACAAAUAAAAAAAAUUAUACUUAAAGUUUAACGUGAGGCAAUUUUUUUUUUAAAAGAUAGCAUAUAAAUUAAAUAAAAAAUACGGUAUAUCUUUUCUACAUUUAUUAAAUUAUAUUAUUGAUUUAAUAUAACAAAAUGUUGUUUUUCGUGAAUUCUUCUAUGUUCAGUGUGCAAUGUAUUUGUAAAUAGGAAUACAUAUUUAAUAUUUUGUUUCACGUUAUUGAAAUUUGAAGAUUAGGAGGGCAUAUCUUAUUAACAAAUUUGUAAUCUUGAACCAUUCUUAUUCUUGCAGAUGGUUUUACAUAAUUGGAAUGACAAGGAUUGUAGAAAGAUAUUAGAAAAUUGUAAAGAAGCUAUUUCUGAUAAAGGUAAAAGGGGAAAAGUAAUUGUUGUAGAUAUUGUGAUGAAUGAAAGCGAAGAUGAGGAAGAACUUAAUGAACUAAAACUUCUCUAUGACGUAAGGAUGACAUGUCUCAUUAAUGGAAAAGAGAGAAAAGAAGAAGAGUGGAAGAAACUAUUUGUGGAAGCAGGAUUCCAGAGCUAUAAAAUAUCCCCUUUCACAGGAUAUCUCUCUCUUAUUCAGAUAUAUCCUUGAAUACUAAACUUAUGAUGCAUUUCAUAGUUACUUUGCAUGCGUGUUUGUGAUAAUCUUGCAAUGUUUAUUUUUUGGUACCAACAAAAGAACUUGUUAAAAAAUGUGACAAGAAUUAAUAAAAAACAAGAAUAAAAAAUAUGUCAUUUAAUUUGAUGUGUGAAAAUGUAUGUUCUAUCAAUGAAUCUCGUGUGAAAGUGUAUGUUCUACUUCACUCUUAUGAGUUGUAACUUUUAUACUUUAUUAAUAUAAAUUAUUUUCAAUGUUUUUUUUUUUUUAAGAAACUAAUGUUAUUGUUGGUAGAAAUUUGAAUAAAUUAAAAAAUAAACAAUUUCAAGAAUGUUCGAAUCCAUAUUCAAAUAUUUUUCUCACUUUCAAGGAAAAAAAACAACACAAAUCAACCUGCAUAAAUAGAAUACUGCUGGCUUUGAAGUAGACUACUGCUCACCAACAACUGGAGUAUGCAGACCUCUGAGAUGCCCAUAGAUCCCUUCUGAACUGAUAAAUUUAGUGUUUAUAAUUGACCAUACAUCAGUUGUCACUUUGUUAAGAAUUGAACUUUAAGUCUAACUCAACUCCGUAAAACUGGCUCAAUGAAGUGAGGUUUGCACUCACUUAUAUAAUAUGUAAAGCUCUAAUUUCUAGUAUAUGUGAAAUCUCCAACACAUUUUCCUGCAUCGAAUUCUCCAAAUAUUUCCAGCUCCAUAAGCAUAAUUCUAAAUAGCUGCCUAAUAUCACUUCCAGUCUUGAUCUGCAUCUUUGCACCUUCACUCCAUUCUUCCCAAGUUUGAUUCAGGUCCAUCUAUUGCAAAAACAGCUCCUCUCAUGCUCAAAGCUGAACUGCUGCAGACUCUCUCGGUACUGCAUAAUGCAUAUUAAUCUGUUCUCUCUCCAUCUAACAAACAACCACAUUACCAAUACGAACACCAAAAACAGAGAAAAACUGCACAUUGCUCCCUGCACAAUAUAACAACACUUUCUAAACUGCAUAAUUAUGCAGUGUACAGCAGAGAAUGACAUGCAUCCUCCCUUUAUUUGAUUUGGGGAAUACAUGUUGAAAUCUAUUAGUAAGCGUUACAAUAAAAAUUGAAUAAAAACAAAUUUUAGAAAAAAAAUAAUUAAUUGAUAUAAUGACUAAAUUAGAGAUUAUUUUAUUAACAAAAAUAAUUUUUUAUUUUUAGAUUAGUUUAUAUUAUUAUUAAAUAGUUUCUAAAUUUAUUUUUUGGUAAUUAAACAUCUUAUUAUCUCUAUAAUUGUUCCGUGCAACUUUAAGUGAAUAAUAAAGAUGUGUUAAAUAUAGAAAUUCAUUUUAAGAUGUUGACAUUGUUGUGGAUGCAUGGUUAAGUUAACAAAGAUAUGGAUAGAAAGUUUCUAGAAGUAAGUUAAUAUUAAUUUUGUUUUUAAUAAUUUUUAGUUAUUUUUCUAAGUACACAUGUCUAGUUUUUAUUUUGUCUUUUCUUAUUCUACCAUUUAUUGAUUUUUUUGUUUUACAUUAUAUCUCUUUAAGUAGACUUAAAAUGAGUGUAUUGUUUAUAUAUAUUUAGACUUUCUCAUUUGAUUUAAGUAAGGAAAAGAAAAAUAGAACAAAUAGAUAUUCCUUCUCAUAUUUUUUAUUUCUUUUUUCUCUUUUGUUCAUCUUUUAUUGCUACGUUAUUAAUUAUUUUACUAUGACACGCAAAUACUUGAGUUUAAUGGUUAUUUAAGUGCUAUUUUUUUUUAUAAUUAAUCAAUCAGAAGGUAUGGUGUUAUAAAUUUUGGACAAUAAAAAGAGAAUAAUUUUUGUUUUAUAAGAAAUAAAUAUAGGGAAUUUAAGAUAAAUAAAUAUUAGGGUGUAAGCAUUUGUAAGUUAGGAAGAUUUAGUUUUCUAUUCACACAUUUUUUUUUACAUAUUUGUCUCUAAUUAUUCAAUUUAUUUAGAGUUGCCAAUCAAAUAAAUUGUUUUUUAAUCUUUAUCUGUCCAAUUCUCGAGGAUAUUCUUAUGAAUUUGUAUAUAACUUUUUAUACAAUCUCAUAUUUUUUUUAAUCUUUUUUAUAUAUUCUCGGUAUAUACUUUCGUUCUUCAAACCAAUGGCUUUGAGCUGUAACAUAUAUGAAAUCAAGUGGAUUUUCUUUUCUCCCAUAAUUCUCCACUAUUGUACAUAAAAUUAUAUUUCUUAUUGAUUUGUGUAUUUUUUUUUUCUAUCCAUGGAUAGAUAUAUCUUUAUAAGUUAUUAUAGCUUAUUAACUAAGUUCAUUUAAAUUUGUAUUGUGACUAACAUGAUUACUGUAAAAUAGACAAUUCAAAAAACGAAUAAAAUAAGAUAUUCAACUAAAUAAAGUAUAAGUAAGUUUUCUUUAUAACCAAUGGCAUUAAUUAUUAUUUUUACUUUAUUUUUGUAAAUAUACACGAUCUUUUUCUUUAUUUGACAAAAAGAGAAGGUUUUUGUAUAGAGGAAUUUCUUUAUAUACAAGAGUCUAUUUUGGCAAAUAAAUUUUAAAUUUAUUUAAUUAUUAAUUAAAUAAUUAAAUACUUUAUCAUGUUAAAGAGUCAUUUCAAAAUAAUAUACUUCUUCAAUAUUUCUUUUUAAAUACUAAAUUAUAAUUUUUUUAUUAACAAUAAGUAAAUAAAAUUAGACAAGAUAUCUCAACUCUUUUACAAACAAAACUAAAACAAUUUAUAUUAGUCAAAUAGAGACUAAACUGCAAAUUUCCUACCAAAAGUUUACAAUUAAAAGGAUAUGUAUUAAGUUGCUAUCCAAUUAGUCAAUAUAAUGAACAUAGACCAAUAUUAUGAAUAUCAAAACAGUUAUUAAGAUAUUUAUAGUUCAAAAGUACGUAACUAUAAAAAAUCAUAAAUACAGACCAAUCAACCCUCCAAUUCAAAAUUCCAUUUCUUAUACUAUUUUUACUUUUGAACUUUUCCAAUGUUUUUCUUAAAUAGAUAUUAACCAAGAUUCCAUAAUCUUCAAUAAUUUAAUUUGCAACAAAAAUAUACGGUACCAAAUACAUGAGCACUUGCCGUCCAAACGGUUUACUUAAAAUAAAAAGGCUCAAUAGUUUAUUUGUACUGUCAGUAUAAAAGAUUUUGCGUUCAAGUUGAGUACUUAUGAUAUCAGCACUUUUUAACUCAUUCAUUGCAUUUUGAAUUGGUCGAAAGUUUAAAACUAGAGUUUCUAAGAUAUCAAUUAUAGCUCAUUCAAACUUUAUAUAAGGGCACCAAAUUCUGAAACACAACAAACACAACCAAAUCACAUGCAAUUAUGGCUUCAAAUGAUGGCAGCAAAGCAAGUGAAAUCUUUCAAGGUCAAGUUCACUUGUACAAACACUUGUUUGCUCAUACAAUAGAUGCUAUGAGUCUUAAAUGGAUGAUUGAGCUUGGCAUACCAGACAUAAUCCACAACCAUGGUCAACCCAUUACACUUCCAAAGUUGGUGUCCAUUUUACAAGUUUCACCAACUAAAGUUAGAGGUGUGCAGAGUCUCAUACACUACCUAACACACACUGGAUUCUUUGAGAGAGUUAGUAUCCUUGAGAAUAUGGAGGAAAAGGAAGCAUAUGCUCUAACUGCUGCAUCACAGCUUCUUGUCAAAGACAAUAACCUUUGUCUAGUACCAAUGGUAGAGGGUUUUGUUGACCCAUGUUUAGCUGGUGUAUGGUCUCACCUCAAGAAGUGGACUUAUGAGGAUGAUCUCACACUAUUUGAUGUCUCAGUAGGAUCAAAUAUGUGGGAAUUUCUUGAUAAAAACCCUGCAUCUAAUAGACUAUUCAAUGAGAUAUUUGCUGCUGAUUCUAAGAUGAUGAACAUGGCAUUGAGAGGUUGCAAUUGGGUGUUUGAGGGAGUGGAGUCCAUUGUGGAUGUUGGUGGUGGAACUGGAAUCACAGCCAAGACAAUAUGUGAGGCAUUUCCUAACAUGAAAUGCAUUGUGUUGGAUCGUCCAAGUGUUGUAGAAAACUUGUCAGGAACCAACAAUUUGACAUAUGUUGGUGGAGACAUGUUGAAAUCUAUUCCAAAGGCUGAUGCAAUUCUACUUAAGGUAUGCAUUUGCAAACAAAUAUUUACUAAACUUGUUUAAUUAUACCAAAUUUAUUUAUUCAAAACCAUAACUCAUUUCUCGCACGAGCAGGGCUAGUUGGGAGAAGUGGUGACUUAGAUCCCAGUUUAGGAGAGAAUAAUGAAAACUCCACUUGCAUUACCUUUUUUAACUACAAAUUAUUUAGUUUCUAAAUUUGGUCUCUAAAACCUUGGUUGCUAAUUAGAUACCAAUUUAGAAACUAUUUAACAAUAAUAGAAACUAAUAUAGAAACCAAUUUUUUUUUAGUUUAUAAAAUGGUCUCCAAUUUAGUUACUAUUACAAUUAAUUAUUUUGGUAUCUAAAAAUUGGUUUUUAUUUCAUGAUUUUCUUGUAGUGUUAUUACUUUAUUUCACAUUAUUGAAUUUUGAGGAUUAGGAUGACAUAUGCUAUUAACAAAUUUGUACUCCUCUACAUUUUUUUCCUUGCAGUUGGUUUUACAUAAUUGGAAUGACAAGGAUUGUAGGAAGAUAUUAGAAAAUUGUAAAGAAGCUAUUUCUGAUAAAGGUAGUAGGGGAAAAGUAAUUGUGGUAGAUGUUGUGAUGAAUGCAAGUGAAGAUGAAGAAGAACUUACUGGACUAAAACUUCUCAUCGAUGUAAGGAUGAGAUGUUUCAUUAAUGGAAAAGAGAGAAAAGAAGAAGAGUGGAAGAAACUGUUUGUGGAAGCAGGAUUCCAAAGCUAUAAAAUAUCUCCAUUCACAGGAUAUCUCUCUCUUAUUCAGAUAUAUCCUUGAAUACUCACUAAACUUAUGAUGCAUUUCACAGUUACUUUGCAUGUUGUUUAUGACAAUCUUGUAAUGUUUAUUUUCUGGUACCAACAAAAUAAAUUGUUCAAAAUUGUGACAAAAAUUAAAAGAAGAAUCGAUAGAAAGCAAGAAUAAAAAAAUUAUGUCAUUUGAUUUGGUGUGUGAAAAUGUAUGUUGUGAAAGUGUAUGUUCUACUUCACUGUGACUUGUGAGCUUUAAAUUUUAUACUUUAUUAAUAUAAACUCUUUUCAAUGUUUUUUAUGGAAGAAACUAACCUUAUUGCUGGUAGAAAUUUGGUAAGAACAUGUUCAAACUCUUAGUAAGGGUGGUGCAGAUGUGCUUAAGGUAUGUGUAUAAAUAAUGAUUUAAUUGACUUAUAUAAAAAUUAAGUUGUUUUGGUUUGUUUCUUACUUUGAUUUUUGUUUCAAAUUUAGCUUUUUUUUUUCUUUUAAAAUGAGUUAUAAGAUUAGUAUAACCAAUUACAUCAAUUAUUUUUUUCUUCUCCACUUUAUAUAAAAGAUUAAAUUUUUAUAUUUUCUUAAUUCUUGUGUUUUUUUUGGUAUACUUUUAGAGGAAUUUAAAUUAACCAAAGUUGUGUCACUUAUCUACGACUUUCGUUGAAAUCGUAUGAAAUAGAAGUCAGGAGGGCUGAACGAAUUUGUUUAACUUCUAAAAUUAAGGCUUAAAUAAAGUCAUGUCAUCCAUGUAGGACUUUAGUUGUAUUAUUUUUACACUUAAUUUAUAUAAGACAUACAUGACUUAUGUGUGGUAAGUGAAAGAAGAAAUAAAACCUGGUGUUAACAUAAAGAACAAUGUUAAUGGUGUAGUCGUUGGAAUUUAAAUGUUAGGUUUUUAGGGUUAAUAGAUUGUAGGGAUUGAGGUUUAGUUCUAAGGUUAGAGUUAAGGUCUAAAUGUGUAGUGUUUAGGGUUGGGGAUGAUGUUAAUGUUUUAAGGCUUGUAAUUUAAAUAGUACAUUGCAUAUACUAAUUAUAUAUAUAAGUGAAAAGAAUAGAAAAAUUUAUAUGUAAUAAUACGCUAAUUUAUAAUUGUUUGUAAAUUAUGAUAUUAUCUAUAUUUGGUAAUUACAUGAAUGAGUUUAAUGACAUGUAAUUAUGCUAAAUAAAUAAUAUAAGAAAACAGACAUAUUAUGCUAAAUAAAUAAUAUAAGAAAACAGACAUGUGUUUGUUUAUAAAUGUCGAUACAAACAAUUGUUCCUACUGUGUCAUUUAUUUAUUUUUACAGUAAAAGCAUAUUUUUUAGUUUGUUUUGGUCUGACUCAUCCAUUUUGUUAUGGAUGCAUCUAAUUGUAGGUUUUCCAAAUUCUGUACGUCUCAUGUGGGAGUCUGAAAUGAAAUUCAGUCCAGUGUAAGCAUACCAGUAAUCCUCAUUUGGCAUUGGAUAAAUUUGGGCCUCAUAAGCCCUAUAAUUAAUCUGGAGACUUUCAAAUGGAUGAACAAACGUCUUUAGUUGCAAAUGACAAUAGGAACAGACAACAAUGACAUGAAGACAAGGGAGGCGAUGAACUUGAAACUCCCCACAGUGACACCACCAUUCAUUUAAUUUGACCGUAAACAAUAUAGGUUGGCGUCAGAGAUGGGGAUUGACUAUCUCCUGAAUAUCAAACUCCAAAUUUUCUCGAUUAUAUCCUAGCACAUGACAUAUGGCAUAUUGUUGGACUAUAAUCAUAGAUUAUUGGACUUUAAUAAUGAAUAAAUUCAUUGUUUUAAUUGAGAUGAAUCUUAUUGGUUUUAUUUAAUUAUUAUUUAUGUUAAUUUUGUAUUUUUAGAGUAGAAGAAAGUUUUGACCUUUGUGAGUGGACCGAAUAUGAGAAAGGUCAAGUUGUUUCUUUGAAUCAAAACAAAAAAUAAAAUUUAAGAAAAAUAAUAAGAGAAUAAAAUCUAUAAUAUCUCAAAGAUUCUACUGACGUGGGCAAUGACUCCAUCUGAACGUUUUAAUAAACUUCACAUUGAAAAUUUGUUUGCCAUGUAAAAAAAAUUUAACGUGUCAACGAUACAUUUCAACAUAUGUAAUCAUUCAAUUAAUUAUUUAGUAUAAUAUGAUAUUUAAAUAAAUAUUUGAUUCAAAUAUAAUAUAAGAGGAAAUAAAUAGACAUUGGAUGCCAAGAAAAAAAAAGAAAGUUAGAAGGAAAGAUAGAUUAUAGAAAACAUUUGACCGUGAUUGCUUAUGCUUCUAGUAUGCUUAAUGCUUUAUUCAAUUUAUCCAAAUUUGAAUCAAGCUAACUAAUUAGAUGAAGGCUUGUUUUUUCCUCUAAUACUGCAAUAUUUUUUUCCAAAAACUAAAUUACAAUUAAAAAGAUAGAUAAAGUUGCGAUCUAAUUAGUCAAUGUAAUUAACAUUGACCAAUAUUAUUAUAGGUAGUGAAUGUCGUUGCAAGAGAAGUAUACUAAUAUAUAAUACUUUUAGUGUUUAUGAGACGGAAAUUUCUUCUUGCACCCCUACAUUUUUUUUCUUGUAUUCCCAUAAGGUUGUGCAAAGACAAAAUUGUUCUUAUAUAAAACUGUACACUUAUUUUUUUGUAUUCCUGAUUAUAAAAUUCGAUAAAUUUUUGGAUUGACGUUUCUAGUAAAAUUUUGGAUUGACGCGUCCAGUAAUCUCCCGAAUUGGUGCUUUUGGUAGUACAUGAAUGACAGUGUUAAUCCAAAAUAAAAAAAAAUGCAGAACAUCCAUAAUUGAAAAAACCAUUCCAGAUCCGCCAAUCUAUAAUUCAAAAUAUGCAUUUUGGAUUCAGAAAUCCGUAAUUGAAAAAAAAAUCAUUCUGAAUCCACCAAUCCGUAAUAGAAAUUAGGCUUCUGGAUUCAACAAUCCGAAAAUCAACAAUUUAUGCAAACUUUAUUUCUGGAACACCCCCUCAUCUGGAAAUAAACAUGAUUCACUUCCGAAUUGAUGAAUCCGUAGCACACUUCCAGAUCCCAAAUUCAAAUAACAGGUGGAGGUCAAUUUCGAAAUUUACAAAAUUAUGGGAGUGCAUAAGAAAAAUGUAGUGGUACAGAAAGAAACUGCCUUAUGUGACACUGUCCAGAACUUGUGCCACGCAAGUGGGACACACCACCACGUAUAGAAGAGAAACAUGCAUCAUCAUACAAACAUCACAACUACCUAAUUGGAGUUAUGGAUCAUCCACCUCCUAGGUAGUUUUGGACUGUUUCUUCCUGCACCUUCAUAUCUUCUUCUGCCACCUUCAUACACAAUAUGAAAAUACAUUUUUAUCCUUUGUGUCACCCCCAUAGAGUAGUUUCCGGAUUAUGUAAUCCAGAAACUCAUUUGAAAAAAGACUUCCAAAUUACAUAAUCUGGAAGCUAAAUAAGACUUCCAGAUUAUGUAUUUCAGAAAGUAAUCAUGCAUAUGAAAAAAGACUUUCAGAUUAUAUAAUCCGGAAGUUAAUUACAAAUUUAAAAAAUGACUUCCAAAUUACGUAAUCUAAAAUAUUAUAGAGGACUAUUUUUGGAAAUUAAAAAAUUUAUAGAAGUGGAGAAAACAGUCGUAGUUUUGUUGUACCAACAUAUAAACCCAAUCAGAUCAAAUUCGGAAACACCAACAAUAACAAACCCAAAACUUAUUAAAAAUUUACUUUAUUAAUUAAAUGUAAUCCUACGUACAGACCAAUAAACCAAUCAACCCUCCAAUUCAAACUUCCAUUUUUCUUAUACUAUUUUACUUUUGAACUUUUCCAAUGUUUUUCUUAAACAGAUAUUAACCAAGAUUCCAUAAUCUUAAAAUAUUUUCAUUUGCGACAAAUAUAUAUGGUACCAAAUACAUGAGCACUUGCCGUCCACACGUUUACUUAAAAUAGAAAGGCCGGCAAUAUUCAGCCCAUUAAAUUAAAAAAUUUAACUCUGGAAAAAUUAUAUAAUUAAACUCUAUAAUUUAUUUGUACUCUCAGUAUAAAAGAUUUUGCGUUCAAGUUGAGUACUUAUGAUAUCAGCACUUUUCAAUUCAUUCACUGCAUUUUAAAUUGGUGGAAAGUUUAAAACUAGAGUUUCUAAGAUAUCAAUUAUAGCUUAUUGAAACUUUAUAAAAGGGCUGAAACACAACAAACACAACCAAAUCACAUGCAAUUAUGGUUUCAAAUGAUGGCAGUAAAGCAAGUGAAAUCUUUCGAGGUCAAGUUCACUUGUACAAACACUUGUUUGCCCAUACAAUAGAUGCUAUGAGUCUUAAAUGGAUGGUUGAGCUUAGCAUACCAGACAUAAUCCACAACCAUGGUCAACCUAUUACAUUUCAAAAGUUGGUGUCCAUUCUACAAGUUUCACCAACCAAAGUUAGAGGUGUGCAGAGUCUCAUACACUACCUAGCACACACUGGAUUCUUUGAGAUAGUUAGUGUCCAUGAGAAUAUGGAGGAAAAGGAAGCAUAUGCUCUAACUGCUGCAUCACAGCUUCUUGUCAAAGACAGUGACCUUUGUCUAGC